This 432-nucleotide ribosomal RNA is filed under the name uncultured bacterium. Its description in RNAcentral is "partial 16S ribosomal RNA". It matches the Rfam family "Bacterial small subunit ribosomal RNA", at positions 29 to 506 of the family's 1533-position model. The record is from RNAcentral.
AACGAACGCUGGCGGCAUGCCUAACACAUGCAAGUCGAACGAGACCUUCGGGUCUAGUGGCGCACGGGUGCGUAACGCGUGGGAACCUGCCCUUAGGUUCGGAAUAACUCCCCGAAAGGGGUGCUAAUACCGGAUAAUGUCUUCGGACCAAAGAUUUAUCGCCUUUGGAUGGGCCCGCGUUGGAUUAGCUAGUUGGUAGGGUAAAAGCCUACCAAGGCGACGAUCCAUAGCUGGUCUGAGAGGAUGAUCAGCCACACUGGGACUGAGACACGGCCCAAACUCCCCCGGGGGGCAGAAGGGGGGAGUUUGUGCCAUUGGGCGAAACCCUGAUCCAGAAUUGCCGGGGGGUUGAGGAAGGCUUUGGGUUUGUAAAGCUUUUUUCCCCGGAAUGUUAAUAGCGGACCGGGGAGAAUAAGCCCCGGCAAACCCCGC